GCCUACGGGGCGCAGCAGUGGGGAAUCUUGCGCAAUGGGCGAAAGCCUGACGCAGCAACGCCGCGUGGGGGAUGAAGCUUCUCGGAGUGUAAACCCCUUUCGACCCGGACGAAUGCCCGCAAGGGCUUGACGGUACGGGUAUAAGAAGCCCCGGCUAACUACGUGCCAGCAGCCGCGGUAAAACGUAGGGGGCCAGCGUUGCUCGGAAUUACUGGGCGUAAAGGGUCCGUAGGCGGUGCGGCAAGUCGGAAGUGAAAUCUCCGGGCUUAACCCGGAGGCUGCUCCCGAAACUGCCGUGCUAGAGGAUGAGAGAGGCAAGUGGAAUUGCGGGUGUAGCGGUGAAAUGCGUAGAUAUCCGCAGGAACAUCCGAGGCGAAAGCGGCUUGCUGGAUCAUUUCUGACGCUGAGGGACGAAAGCUAGGGGAGCAAACAGGAUUAGAUACCCCGGUAGU
RNAcentral lists this ribosomal RNA (452 nucleotides) under uncultured bacterium. Its description in RNAcentral is "bacterial SSU rRNA". It matches the Rfam family "Bacterial small subunit ribosomal RNA", at positions 337 to 794 of the family's 1533-position model. The record is from RNAcentral.